Molecule: ribosomal RNA, 1754 nt
Filed under: Salmonella enterica
Lineage: Bacteria; Pseudomonadati; Pseudomonadota; Gammaproteobacteria; Enterobacterales; Enterobacteriaceae
Description: partial 23S ribosomal RNA
Rfam family: Bacterial large subunit ribosomal RNA
Source: RNAcentral
ACUUUAGUGUUGUUGGGUAGGGGAGCGUUCUGUAAGCCGUUGAAGGUGUCCUGUGAGGGGUGCUGGAGGUAUCAGAAGUGCGAAUGCUGACAUAAGUAACGAUAAAGCGGGUGAAAAGCCCGCUCGCCGGAAGACCAAGGGUUCCUGUCCAACGUUAAUCGGGGCAGGGUGAGUCGACCCCUAAGGCGAGGCCGAAAGGCGUAGUCGAUGGGAAACGGGUUAAUAUUCCCGUACUUGGUGUUACUGCGAAGGGGGGACGGAGAAGGCUAUGUUGGCCGGGCGACGGUAGUCCCGGUUUAAGCGUGUAGGUGUGUGUUCCAGGCAAAUCCGGUUCACUUUAACACUGAGGCGUGAUGACGAGGCACCACGGUGCUGAAGCAACAAAUGCCCUGCUUCCAGGAAAAGCCUCUAAGCAUCAGGUAACAUCAAAUCGUACCCCAAACCGACACAGGUGGUCAGGUAGAGAAUACCAAGGCGCUUGAGAGAACUCGGGUGAAGGAACUAGGCAAAAUGGUGCCGUAACUUCGGGAGAAGGCACGCUGACACGUAGGUGAAGUGAUUUACUCAUGGAGCUGAAGUCAGUCGAAGAUACCAGCUGGCUGCAACUGUUUAUUAAAAACACAGCACUGUGCAAACACGAAAGUGGACGUAUACGGUGUGACGCCUGCCCGGUGCCGGAAGGUUAAUUGAUGGGGUCAGCGCAAGCGAAGCUCCUGAUCGAAGCCCCGGUAAACGGCGGCCGUAACUAUAACGGUCCUAAGGUAGCGAAAUUCCUUGUCGGGUAAGUUCCGACCUGCACGAAUGGCGUAAUGAUGGCCAGGCUGUCUCCACCCGAGACUCAGUGAAAUUGAACUCGCUGUGAAGAUGCAGUGUACCCGCGGCAAGACGGAAAGACCCCGUGAACCUUUACUAUAGCUUGACACUGAACAUUGAGCCUUGAUGUGUAGGAUAGGUGGGAGGCUUUGAAGCGUGGACGCCAGUCUGCGUGGAGCCGACCUUGAAAUACCACCCUUUAAUGUUUGAUGUUCUAACGUGGACCCGUAAUCCGGGUUGCGGACAGUGUCUGGUGGGUAGUUUGACUGGGGCGGUCUCCUCCUAAAGAGUAACGGAGGAGCACGAAGGUUGGCUAAUCCUGGUCGGACAUCAGGAGGUUAGUGCAAUGGCAUAAGCCAGCUUGACUGCGAGCGUGACGGCGCGAGCAGGUGCGAAAGCAGGUCAUAGUGAUCCGGUGGUUCUGAAUGGAAGGGCCAUCGCUCAACGGAUAAAAGGUACUCCGGGGAUAACAGGCUGAUACCGCCCAAGAGUUCAUAUCGACGGCGGUGUUUGGCACCUCGAUGUCGGCUCAUCACAUCCUGGGGCUGAAGUAGGUCCCAAGGGUAUGGCUGUUCGCCAUUUAAAGUGGUACGCGAGCUGGGUUUAGAACGUCGUGAGACAGUUCGGUCCCUAUCUGCCGUGGGCGCUGGAAGACUGAGGGGGGCUGCUCCUAGUACGAGAGGACCGGAGUGGACGCAUCACUGGUGUUCGGGUUGUCAUGCCAAUGGCACUGCCCGGUAGCUAAAUGCGGAAAAGAUAAGUGCUGAAAGCAUCUAAGCACGAAACUUGCCCCGAGAUGAGUCUUCCCUGAGACUUUGAGUCUCCUGAAGGAACGUUAAAGACGAUGACGUUGAUAGGCCGGGUGUGUAAGCGCAGCGAUGCGUUGAGCUAACCGGUACUAAUGAACCGUGAGGCUUAACCUUACAACGCCGAAGGUGUUU